RNAcentral lists this ribosomal RNA (495 nucleotides) under uncultured bacterium. RNAcentral's name for it is "partial 16S ribosomal RNA". It matches the Rfam family "Bacterial small subunit ribosomal RNA", at positions 28 to 507 of the family's 1533-position model. The record is from RNAcentral.
GAUGAACGCUGGCGGCGUGCCUAAUACAUGCAAGUAGAACGCUGAAGGAGGAGCUUGCUCUUCUGGAUGAGUUGCGAACGGGUGAGUAACGCGUAGGUAACCUGCCUGGUAGCGGGGGAUAACUAUUGGAAACGAUAGCUAAUACCGCAUGACAACAGUUAUUGCAUGAUAACUGUUUAAAAGGGGCAACUGCUCCACUACCAGAUGGACCUGCGUUGUAUUAGCUAGUUGGUGAGGUAACGGCUCACCAAGGCGACGAUACAUAGCCGACCUGAGAGGGUGAUCGGCCACACUGGGACGGAGACACGGCCCAGACUCCUACGGGAGGCAGCAGUAGGGAAUCUUCGGCAAUGGACGGAAGUCUGACCGAGCAACGCCGCGUGAGUGAAGAAGGUUGUCGGAUCGUAAAGCUCGGUUGUAAGAGAAGAACGAGUGUGAGAGUGGAAAGUUCACACUGUGACGGUAUCUUACCAGAAAGGGACGGCUAACUACGUG